UGGCCCGUAGCUCAAUUGGCAGAGCGCCCGACUGUUAAUCGGGUGGUUCCAGGUUCGAGUCCUGGCGCGCCAG
Molecule: transfer RNA, 73 nt
Filed under: Mycobacterium phage Gaia
Lineage: Duplodnaviria; Heunggongvirae; Uroviricota; Caudoviricetes
Rfam family: tRNA
About the family: Transfer RNA (tRNA) molecules are approximately 80 nucleotides in length. Their secondary structure includes four short double-helical elements and three loops (D, anti-codon, and T loops). Further hydrogen bonds mediate the characteristic L-shaped molecular structure. tRNAs have two regions of fundamental functional importance: the anti-codon, which is responsible for specific mRNA codon recognition, and the 3' end, to which the tRNAs corresponding amino acid is attached (by aminoacyl-tRNA synthetases). tRNAs cope with the degeneracy of the genetic code in two manners: having more than one tRNA (with a specific anti-codon) for a particular amino acid; and 'wobble' base-pairing, i.e. permitting non-standard base-pairing at the 3rd anti-codon position.
Source: Rfam by way of RNAcentral